GAUGAACGCUAGCUACAGGCUUAACACAUGCAAGUCGAGGGAACGGCGCACGGGUGAGUAACACGUAUCCAACCUGCCCUUUACUCGGGGAUAGCCUUUCGAAAGAAAGAUUAAUACCCGAUAUAAAGGAUGGGGAUGCGUUCAAUUCGGUUGUUGGUGAGGUAACGGCCCACCAAGCCUUCGAUGGAUAGUGGUUCUGAGAGGAAUGUCCCCCACAUGGGAACUUGGACACGUUCCAAACUCCUACGGGAGGCAGCAGUGAUGAAUAUUGUUCAAUGGGCGUUAGCCUGAACCAUCCAAGUAGCGUGAAGGAUGAAGGCUUAUGGGUCGUAAACUUCUUUUAUAUAAGAAUAUGUAUUAUAUGAAUAAGGAUCGGCUAACUCCGUGCCAGCAGCCGCGGUAAUUC
This 406-nucleotide ribosomal RNA is filed under the name uncultured bacterium. RNAcentral describes it as "partial 16S ribosomal RNA". It matches the Rfam family "Bacterial small subunit ribosomal RNA", at positions 28 to 526 of the family's 1533-position model. The record is from RNAcentral.